Long non-coding RNA from Ictalurus furcatus (blue catfish), 372 nucleotides. RefSeq lists it as uncharacterized. Lineage: Eukaryota; Metazoa; Chordata; Actinopteri; Siluriformes; Ictaluridae. The transcript has 2 exons. The record is from RefSeq and is a predicted model, not a curated record.
CAGAGGAAGGCUUUCUUGUCCUGGCUUGACAGUUCUUCAAACACUUCCCAGAAAAAGACAAUCGUUUGGUGUUUUGCAUGAAAUCCGUAUUCAUAAGUUGCAUUCUGUUCAUCGUAAAGAAACACAGAUGAAGGAGAUAAAAUGUAGGUGUGUUCACCUGUCUGAAUGUGUCCCAGUCGUAUUCCUCUGAGCCCAGCAUCACUCCUCUGAGCUCUUCUGGAUGGAAGAUGUCCACCAUGUGUCUGUCACACACUUUGUAGAAUCCCUUCUUAAAUUCAUUAAACACCCGCUCCACGGACUUGUUCAGCACGUAAUCCACAUACGCGUCCACGAACACGUUUCUGUCGAAGGAAUAAAAGUCGUUAACGUUAA